Non-coding RNA from Phascolarctos cinereus (koala), 945 nucleotides. The record is from RefSeq and is a predicted model, not a curated record. NCBI's taxonomy places the organism in Eukaryota, Metazoa, Chordata, Mammalia, Diprotodontia, Phascolarctidae.
UUUUUGACUGGCACAUGGGUCACACAGCUGAGUACAGCAGGAUUUAACACAGGAGGCAAGGAUGAUCCCAGGUGGAAACUUGCCCCGGCUUCUGCUCAACAGCUCCCUGAUCAAUAUGACAGGCCAAAGGAGGGAAAGGAGGCAAAACAAAACAUGACCAUUUCAGACUCUGGCAACAAUAAAAAGGAAAACUUCGACUCCAGCAAGGAACACAGCAGCAAGCCGGCCUUCAAGACAGGUUCAGUGAAAAUGGACACAAGUUUUCCUGGUGGAAAGGCAGCCUGAGGAAAUACAGCAAGAUGGAACUACUUGUAAAUUCCGAGAAGAAAAUAUAUCCCUGUAUGUGACAGAGGCAACACAAGACGAUUAAUCUGGGCCCUUACGACUGGAAUGCAAAAGCUGGGCAGUAGAACUCGUUGAAUUGGGACUAAAAGUCAUCAGGCUGGGACAUGAUUGCUCCCAAGGGCCUUGUCUAGGGGUUGGAGAGAUUUAAGUUCAAGGCCUCAUUGGGUGGGUGGGGGUGGCAAAGAAGAUACAGCCUCUGGGCUGGGCUCAGGGGGCAGAAGAUUUGAUGCUGACGAGAGCAGCAUGACCACUCUGGGCCUCAGUUUCCCCUGUUUGUCAGUUUUGGGGAUUGGACUCUAGGGUCCCAAUCCAAUUCAACGCCAUUCAGUACUCGGCUUGUUUGUUUAUACACUGGAUCUGUGAUUUUUUUGGGGGGGUGGGGAAUUUCCGUAGAGUAAGCCUCUCAUUAGAACAGAUCUGUCUCUGUUCUACAGCUUAAAGCUGCUUAGAGCAAAUGACUUACUUGGGGUCACACAGCCACAACUUGAACCCAAGUCCUCCUGACUUCCGAGUCCAGCUCCCUACCCCGCCAUAUCCCCUGCCUGCCUCGGAUCAGCAACGUUUAGAUGCCAAGCACUCUGCUGGGGCCUGAGGAUACAA